Molecule: RNA transcript, 6335 nt
Organism: Phyllopteryx taeniolatus (common seadragon)
Lineage: Eukaryota; Metazoa; Chordata; Actinopteri; Syngnathiformes; Syngnathidae
Gene: rock2a
Gene name: rho-associated, coiled-coil containing protein kinase 2a
Exons: 34
Source: RefSeq, a predicted model, not a curated record
CAAUGCAUGCGUGUUGGUGUGUGGAGGUGAGUGAACCGUGAGGAUUGAGUGAGUGCUGGACUUUUCUCUUCCGAGCGAACGAGGACUUUUUUUUUUUUUUUUUUUCUUCCCACCAUCAAGGUCAAAAGUCCGGACGAGACGACGGUUGGAACACAUUCGAAAAUGCGAGGGGGAAUCCAGGAAGAGAGCCCGUUGCCGUUAAAAAUUGAGAGCGGGAGAGCAGCCGCUAUUGUCCGUGUGCCUUCAUAACACUUGUGGCAUCGCCGAGGAGAGACUUUGACACCGACUGGCUGCUAAGCUUUCCUGAAUGGGGUGAAUUGAAGCGACAUUUGUUUUUAUUUAUUAUUAUUAUUAUUUUUGUGAUAAGCUAGUCCGAGGCAUUUGCAGACGUUCAAAAAAAGGGAAGGGGAGGCGAGGAGGGGCAAAGAAAACGCCCUGCUGCCACAGCCUGUUACCGUUAUCUCCAAAUUCAAACUUUAUCGUCGACUUCAAAAUGCGGAGAUAAGAUGGAAUGUGGAACGUUAUGUCUUUUUUUUUUUAACGUCUCGUGCUUUGUUUAAGGGCCGCACUCUUGGCAAGUUUUGGGAAGUCUCAUUGCUGUAGGAAUAUUUUCCCCUCUUCGUCGUUGCACACUAUCCCCGUUGGAGACGAUCUGGAUGGGCAGGGAGCCCCAAGGGUGCCCCGCUAGGCCCGAACAACGAAGUUUCACAUGUAAACCCAAGCACUUUGGGACAAAAACAAGGCUUUCUUUCUCAUUAUUUGCCGAGCGACGCCGCAGAUAUGUCUCAGGGCGCCGAGAGGAGGAUGGAAAGCCGGCUGAAGAAGUUGGAGGACAUGAUGAGAAACCCCAGGUCUGCGUUAAACCUGGAAAGUUUGCUGGACUCCUUAAAUGCGGUGGUCUUAGAUUUGGACUACCCUGCACUUCGCAAGAACAAAAAUAUUGAAACGUUUUUAAAUCGAUAUGAGAAUGUCAUAAAACAGGUCAGAGACCUGCAGAUGAAGUCAGAGGACUUUGAUAGAGUUAAAGUGAUUGGCCGAGGAGCUUUUGGUGAGGUUCAACUGGUCAGGCAUAAAGCCUCUCAGAAAGUCUACGCCAUGAAGCUUCUCAGCAAGUUUGAGAUGAUCAAACGGUCAGACUCUGCCUUCUUCUGGGAAGAAAGGGACAUCAUGGCCUUUGCCAACAGUCCAUGGGUGGUGCAGUUGUGCUGCGCCUUCCAAGAUGAGCACUACCUCUACAUGGUGAUGGAGUACAUGCCAGGAGGUGACCUGGUUAACCUCACCAGUACCUACGAUGUGCCAGAGAAAUGGGCCAAGUUUUACACCGCAGAGGUGGUGAUGGCACUGGAUGCUAUUCACUCGAUGGGCUUCAUUCACCGUGAUGUCAAACCAGACAACAUGCUGCUCGACAGACAUGGACACCUGAAGCUUGCGGACUUCGGUACAUGCAUGAAGAUGGACUCAACUGGUAUGGUACAUUGUGACACAGCAGUUGGAACCCCUGACUACAUUUCUCCUGAAGUGCUGAAAUCCCAGGGAGGCGAUGGUUAUUAUGGGAGAGAAUGUGACUGGUGGUCUGUUGGCGUCUUCAUCUUUGAAAUGCUUGUUGGUGACACGCCAUUUUAUGCUGACUCUCUGGUGGGAACCUAUAGUAAGAUCAUGGACCAUAAAAACUCCCUCAACUUUCCAGAUGACGUAGAAAUCUCCAAAGAUGCAAAGAAUAUAAUCUGUGCCUUCUUGACUGACAGGGAAGUGCGAUUGGGACAGAAUGGUGUGGAGGACAUCAAGCGACACCCUUUCUUCAGGAACGACCAGUGGACCUUUGACACAAUCAGAGAGACCGUUGCACCUGUGGUCCCCGAGCUGAGCAGUGACAUUGACACCAGUAACUUUGAUGAGAUUGAAGAUGAUAAAGGUGAUGUAGAGACGUUCCCCACACCCAAGGCUUUUGUUGGAAAUCAGCUCCCCUUUGUGGGCUUCACCUACUUCAAAGAAGACCAGUUACUAAAUGCGUCGAAGAACUCCUCAUAUCUUAAUGAUAAUUCAAAGGGAGAGUCUGUAGCACUGCAGAAGAAGCUUCAUCACUUGGAAGUGCAGCUGAAUAAUGAGAAGCAAGCCAAAGACGAUCUGGAGCACAAAUUUAGAGCUGCCACUAGUCGUCUGGACAAAGUCUCGAAAGAACUUGAAGAUGAGGUGACUAGCAGGAAGAAUUUGGAGUCAAGCAUGAGGCAGCUGGAAAGGGAGAAGGCCCUUCUGCAGCACAAGAGCAUGGAGAGCCACCGCAAGGCUGAGAGCGAAGCUGACAGGAAACGCUGUCUGGAAAAUGAAGUCAACAACCUCCGUGAUCAGCUAGAUGACCUAAAAAGAAGAAAUCAGAAUUCACACAUUUCUAAUGAAAAGAACAUUCAUCUGCAGAAACAGCUGGAAGAAGCCAACAUAUUGCUGCGGGCUGAAUCUGAGUCUGCAACGAGGCUCCGUAAAACCCAGACAGAGAACAGCAAACAGCUGCAGCAGCUGGAGGUGAACACGCGAGAGCUGCAGGACAAAUGCUGUCUGCUGGAACGCAGCAAGUUAAGCCUCGAGAAGGAAUGCAUCAGCCUGCAGGCCGCCCUGGAGACAGAACGCAGGGAGCACAGCCAGGGCUCAGAGACCAUCAGUGACUUGAUGGGGCGUAUCUCUGGCCUUGAGGAGGAGGUACAGCAGCAGAAACGAGCUCUCUCCAAAAUGGAGACUGAGAAGAGGCAUCUUCAGGAGAAGCUCACUGACUUGGAAAAGGAGAAGAGCAACAAAGAGAUUGAUUUCACCUACAAGCUGAAGGUGCUGCAGCAGGGGCUGGAGCAGGAGGAGAGCUCCCAUAAAGCCACCAGGGCUCUGCUGGCAGACAAGAACAAGAUAAAAGUAACCAUCGAAGGUGCAAAAUCAGAGUCUAUGAAGGAGAUGGAGCAGAAGCUGGCAGAGGAACGAGCAGCCAAGCUGCGACUGGAGAACAGAAUACUUGAACAGGAGAAGCAUAGCAGCAUGAUGGACUGUGACUAUAAACAAGCUCUUCAGAAGCUGGAUGAGCUGCGCAGACACAAAGACCACCUCACGGAUGAGGUGAAGAAUCUAACGUUGAAGAUUGAACAGGAGACCCAGAAACGUAACCUGACACAGAACGACUUGAAGGCCCAGAAUCAACAGCUAAAUUCUUUGCGAACGUCCGAAAAGCAGCUCAAGCAAGAAACAAAUCACCUACUGGACAUUAAACGCAGCUUGGAAAAACAGAACCAUGAGCUCCGCAGAGAAAGACAAGACACAGACGGGCAAAUGAAGGAACUCCAAGACCAGUUAGAAGCUGAACAGUAUUUUUCUACUUUGUAUAAGACCCAGGUUCGUGAACUAAAAGAGGAAUGUGAGGAGAGGAACAAACUCUUCAAAGAGGUGCAGCAGUCGCUUCAAGAACUACAGGAGGAGAGAGAUUCUCUGGCUGCCCAGCUGGAAAUCACACUUACUAAGGCUGACUCAGAGCAGCUAGCUCGCUCUAUUGCUGAGGAGCAAUACUCUGAUCUGGAAAAGGAAAAAAUCAUGAAGGAGCUGGAGCUGAAGGAGAUGAUGGCCCGCCAUCGUCAGGAAUUGUCAGAGAAGGACAUCACCAUCAAUUCGUUGGAAGAAGCCAAUAGGACCCUGACCAGUGAUGUCGCCAACCUGGCCAAUGAGAAGGAGGAGCUCAACAAUAAAAUGAAGGAAGCCCUUGAAGAAACAGAGAAGUCCAAGGAUUGGGAGCAGCAUAUAAUUCAGAUGAAGCACACAUUUGAGAAGCAGCUGCAGUCUGAGAGGACCCUGAAAACUCAGGCUGUCAAUAAGCUGGCAGAGAUCCUGAACAGAAAGGAGAUACGUGGUGGAAGUAGUCGCCGUGGCAACGACACAGACAUGCGCCGCAAGGAGAAGGAGAACAGAAAGCUGCAGCUGGAGCUGAGAUCGGAAAAAGAAAAGCUCAACAGUACCAUCAUCAAAUAUCAGCGAGAGAUCAACGAAAUGCAGGCACAAUUGGCAGAUGAGAGUCAGAUGCGCAUUGAGCUCCAGAUGGCUCUGGACAGUAAAGACAGUGACAUUGAGCAGCUGAGGAAUCUCCUCCAGUCACUCAGUGUUCAAUCAAUGGACUCUGCCAGCAUCAGUAGUGGACCGGAUUUUGAUGCAGAUGAUGCCUUUACAGAAACAAGACUUGAAGGGUGGCUUUCCCUCCCUGUGCGUAACAACACCAAGAAGUUUGGAUGGGAGAAAAAGUAUGUUGUUGUGAGCAGCAAGAAGAUUCUCUUCUACAAGAGCGAACAAGACAAAGAGCAGUCCAUUCCUUAUAUGGUGCUUGAUAUAGACAAACUCUUCCAUGUGAGGCCUGUCACUCAAACAGAUGUGUACCGAGCUGAUGCCAAGGACAUUCCAAGAAUAUUCCAGAUUCUUUAUGCCAAUGAAGGUGAGAGCAAAAAGGAGCCUGAAUUUCCUGUAGAGCCUCUGCCAAUCGGUGAAAAGUCCAGCUACAUCUGUCACAAAGGCCACGAGUUCAUCCCCACGCUUUACCACUUCCCCACCAACUGUGAGGCAUGCACCAAACCACUAUGGAACAUGUUCAAGCCUCCGCCUGCUUUGGAAUGUCGGCGCUGCCACAUUAAGUGCCACAAGGACCAUAUGGACAAAAAAGAGGAGAUCAUCGCUCCUUGCAAAGUGAACUAUGACGUGUCUACGGCCAAGAAUCUGCUGCUGCUCGCCAUGUCUCAGGAGGAGCAGCAGAAGUGGGUGAGCCGUCUGGUCAAGAAGAUUCCCAAAAAGCCACCACCACCUGAGAACUUUGCACGCUCCUCACCACGCACUUCCAUGAAAGUCCAGCCCAGUCAGUCCAUUAGGAGACCCAGUCGACAGCUCCCCACCAGCAAGAGCAGAUUGGUGGACUUUGGUCUUCAAGAAUGGCACUGGUCCUUGGAUGAUAUUGAUGAUGAUUGUGUUUCUAGUCAUUUCUGAUGAGUUGCUAUGAUCAAAUGGCCUCAAAUUGAUGCGAGAAGACUCCAGCAGUGGACUAUGCUAACCUUGUGCGGGAGGACUGGGUGCAUCCUGAAGACGUUCCCUCUUAAAAAAUGAAGACUGUAUUACGCAGCUCUGUUGGCCAAUCAGCACACUGAACUUCAAUUCUCCACAAGCCACCCUCCUGCUUCACGCCUGACUUAAGCUUGACUUGACUUCCAGCACUUCCAACUGCUCAUCUCUAUUCAAGUUCUCACGUGGCUGUAAUCGACUCGGGAGCAUUUGACGUGGACAUUUAAGUGUGUCUCGGGAUUCGUGACUCCCACAGAACAAGAUGGGAUGCACAUACCUCAACAUUUGAUGGACGGUCCCUCAUCUCCUCCUCCUCUUCAUUGUGGACCAUGGCCAAAAUACAUUUGCGUGUUAUUGUGAAUAUAAUUAAGGGUUUCUGUGGAAAACUACAAACAAAAGAUAAUAAAUCCUGUAACUUGUUGAUUUAGUUAAGCACCGUUAACAUGCAUUAUAGCUUUCAAGUUGUGUCCACAUUGGUCACUUAACUUGAAUAAGCGACUUUAGCAAAAGAGCCACCGAAGUGCCGAAGUUGUUGCGAUCUCGACGGUCCUAAAAGAACAGAAAUACACUUUGAAUGACGGCUCCCGUUAAUCCCACCGCGCGCUGCACUGUCAGUUCUGAGUUGUGUUGUUUACUGAAUUGAAGGGAUGAACCUUCUUUGCUUUCCUGAUCCAAGCUCAGCACCUGCUGUUGUUUGAAUGUAAAAACUGGGAUGUACCAGAGAUGAGACACUAGCAUUGUAUUCCUUGGAUCCGAACUUACUUGACUGAAGCGCUUUGUUAAUCACAAAGCCACUGAAUGACCGUGCACGUCCACUUGUUGCCACACACGUACACACUGCGACACAUUAAGACGUGUGUCAUUCACAACUAUGAAACUGAGGGAAGUAUACCAAUAAGCAGAGUUAAAAUCAGUCAACAUACUGAGUGGCACUAUUCCAUUCAGAGUUUUUCUUCAAAGGUGUUGUGAUAUUUUUGUAUUAAAAGUAAACAGAUGCAAGAGUUUGGGCACAUUGUUGUGUGUGGAUGUGGCUUUUAUAGUAAGUGGAGAGACACUGUGUUUUUGUGUGUGCUCUCCUUUAACCAUCAAGCAUGUUUUAUACAUAUAAAUAUACACAGUAAUGUACACAGUAUAUAGUUUACAUGCCAUACAGUGCACAUAUUAUUUAUACAGCUGUGUCCACUUUGUAUUUAAGGGCUUUACAUUCAGACUGCAUGUUCGCUACCAAACGGUUCUCUAUAAUAACCACUUCAACAAUAAAGAUGUGGAUGUGC